UUUCAACAUACUUUCAGCACACUUUUUCGUUUCUAAGCAUAUGCAAAAGCCAAAAAUACCCCUCUAUUAUUAUUUUUAUUUUUAUUUGAGAUUUAACUAAACUAUUAAAUUUUCGUUGGGCAAAUCAUGUGGUUUUGAAGCAAUUACUUUUAAUAUUAAAACCUUAUCUUUUUUUUCUGUGAUCCAACUACCACACCGUAAAUCUGCUUCGGGCUCAAGCUUCAAUUUUUUUCAUCGGUUUCUCCAAUUUGUCAAAGUUUCCACUUGCUUAGUUUGGUGUCUCUCUUAUCUAUGUUUCGACGCACUGCCAUCCCUCCCGACGUCGUAUAAUCUGCUCCUUUGCGUAUCUUAGUUGUUGUCAACCUUCGCACCACGACCUCAAUCCAUGACGGCUCCUAGGCAGUAUAAUAUGUCUGAAAAUUUUACUCCUCGUUGCGGUUGUGCUCAAUCCACGAGGAUCAACAGAUGGAUCGAUCUUGUUCAGCUACUUUGGACGGAUCGAUCUGGUUCACAAAGAACGACCAAUCCAUUAUAUCCAAUUUUAUAAUUUUGCACCCCUCGUCUUUUAGCUUCUUCUAUUGUUUGUCACAAACUUUCAAAAUUGUCUGUAUAACCUCUUUAAUUGACCACAUAUUCUCAGUUAUACCUCCAACCAAUAAUAUGCAAAUUUCUAUGCAAAUACAACAUAAACAUCUAAAAUGCAUCCAACAAUGAUUUAUAUGAGCUAAAAUAAGAUAUUAUAAAUCAUUAAAAAUAUAAUAUAUGAAAGAGCUAUAAACAUAUCAGCUAAAAAGAGAGAGACGAGGUGUGAUUAUUUAAUCAUGGACUCAUAAAUAUUGAGAAACUUGUCCAUAUGUACAAUUAUCCACAUGUACACUUGUCCAACUAUCCACAUAUACGCUUGUCAACAUGUAUACAAUACACCAGUAUCUUUUGCAUUGUUCAUUUGAUUUGUAUUCUUUUACUUAUUAUCAAGUGCUGGUUUUAAAAUUCCUUUGUAGUACUUACAUAUUUGAUAACAUAUGGAUAUCUACACAAAUAAAUAUGAAGCUUAAUCAAAGAUUGGAGGGCUUCUUUGUGUACACGUGUACACCUUUUAUAUGAUAUCCACAUGUACACAUUAACGUGUACAUAAAUGUUUAGUUGUUAAACAUUUCAUUUGUAUUCUUUUAGCUAUUAUCAAGUGUUGGUUUCAGAAUCACUUUGUAAUACUACCAUAUUUGCUGACAUAUGGAUAUCUAGACAAAUAAAUAUGGAUGCUUAAUCCAAGAUUAGAGGGAUUCUUUGUGUACACGUAUAUACUUUAUAUAUCCGCAUGUACGUAUUAACGUGUACAACUUUUCCAUGAUAUCCACGUAAUCAAACCUCUAUUGAUUAGAGAACUUUCGCAACACCUCGUCAAAGUGCCGUUGUCAUUUUUCGUUCCAGUUCCUUCAGAUUUACAUUCUCUUGAUUAAGGUGCAGCUGAGACGGAGAUUGAGACGGAAAUUGAGCCAGAGCAAAGCUACAUUGGUUAAUUCGCCAAACUCUCUUUGCCUUCAUCUUUCUAUGAGUCUAAUUCGACUCGGAUCUUCUUCUCUCACCAGCUCCUAUGGAAGAUGGAGGUGGAGAUGAAGAAAAAAUAGAUUGGACCCAUGGUUUACGAAUAGAGACACAAUUUUGAUUCAGAAAAAUCCACCAUUCGAACAUAAGAAAUGUGUAAGAACGCUUGAAAUUUUUUGUUCAUGUGUUUCAGAUUUUAAUAAUUUUAUCGAAAACGCACAUCAUCGACAGAAAACAGAGAUGUGGUUGGUAAAAGAAGAACAUGAUGAAAGAGAUGAAGAAGAAAAAGUAAUUUUAAUUUUAAAAAUGUGUGGCUGUAAAUAAAAGACUUAAGAAUUAUGCAUUUUUUAUUCUAGAAACCAGUCAACUGGUUCAAAUCGCUUUAAGAUAAAAAAAGGUGAGUGUAAUUGUUUAGUUAAGGCCAAUUCAGUCAUUUUAUUAUCACAAAUUACCUCAGUAGCACAAAGUGCCUUAGAAUGUAAUAAAAAAGAGAAAACUGCUCUAGAGUGUAAAUGACUCUAACUUUUAUAAUGGGACUGUGACUGACCGUAAGGAGAAAAGCAAUAAAACAAUAAUAGGAAAGGUAAAAGUAAAAGUUUUCCAAAUAUGAUCAACAGAAGGGAAACAAAUAACGGAGAGUCCAGGUUCUAUUCCAAUGCAUAAUUGAUUUACGUUUGGUAGGUUUUUAUAUGAAAAAGCGUUUGUAAAAGCAAAAACAUGGAUUGACCAUUUCGGUGGGUGGUUACAAAUACAAGUAAAUGCAUAAUUAAGGAAUGUUUCACCUUUAUUGCAAUUUCUAUCAACUAAGAAAACUCGAAAAUGUUCCUAGACCGAACCUGAAAUUAGCUUAUACUAGUUUUAUUUUAGAUCGACGUUCCCUUGUUUUGUUAACCACAAAAUUAACAUAUCAAAUUCAAGACACUAGAUUUUGGAACUUUCUCUUAUUUCUUUUUUCAGUGAACUUUAUACUGCUUAGUUUAAACUUUACAUAUAUACAUGAGACACUAUAUACACUAGAAGAGGUUUCGGAAAACAUGUAAUUAUUCAGUAUGUUAAUACCACUCGCUUAUGUUAAAUCAAUAUCUGUGGGAUAUAAAAUAAAACCCUCCUCUUUAGAAUGCCUUCACAAAAAAAAAAACUCCUCUUUAGAUAUUAAUUUUUGAAGCAAAAAAGUUGAAAGCGCUUACUUUAUUUUUCUGAGUGUUCUCGCUAGCUUGCUGUCAAACGAUUCAUCGUUCAUGAGAUCUUGAUUUCCAAAUAAGACAGAUUUGACUUUUGUUGGUUUGUAAUAUUCACUCUUACAUCAUCGGAAACACAAGCAAGUCUCUUCAUGUGCUCAUUUCCUUCUCCAUUAAUCUCUUUUCGGGGUUCUCAAUAUCACACACUCUCUUUCUAUUUCCUUCACAUCCAUCUCUGUAUUUUAACAUCUUCAAAAAACUUGUAUAGAAUGUUUAUUUCGAACCAACAUGUAUUUUUAUUAUUAUGUCAAAGAUUAUAUAAAGAAGGUUAGACCGUUUAUUCUAUUUUUUACUAUAAAAUAGAUUAAUUCUAUAAUAGAGUUUAGUUUGCUCUAAUUGUACUAUAUUUUAAAGUAAAAAAU
RNAcentral lists this long non-coding RNA (3142 nucleotides) under Brassica rapa (field mustard). RNAcentral describes it as "long non-coding RNA (BRAP_LNC007906)". The record is from RNAcentral. Lineage: Eukaryota; Viridiplantae; Streptophyta; Magnoliopsida; Brassicales; Brassicaceae.